Myotis daubentonii (Daubenton's bat) is the source of this 5447-nucleotide RNA transcript. It is a transcript of the gene named phospholipase A2, membrane associated-like, with no coding region annotated. NCBI's taxonomy places the organism in Eukaryota, Metazoa, Chordata, Mammalia, Chiroptera, Vespertilionidae. The transcript has 4 exons. The record is from RefSeq and is a predicted model, not a curated record.
CCCCAAAAUUCAUGCCCUGUCAGGAGUAUGGGUCCUGCUCAGUGGCUGCCUUUAAGAGUGGCUGUGUUGGCAUAUGUGUCCAUGUGUGUUUAUGCAUGUGUAUGUUGCACACAUGGACAAAUACAUGCAUGCGCAUGAUUUGAGGGGGAUGUGCACAAGUGUGUUGUAUGGGUAUGUGAGUGAUUGUUUGAAAGGAGGUCUGCAUUAGUGGGUGAGUUCAGGAGUGGGUAUAUGCAUGCAUAUGUGCGUUACUAUAUAUGUGUUUGCGCAUGUGUGUAUGCGUAAGGGGUUGGAAAGUCUUGCAAAGAGAGGGUGCUGUGCGUUAGUUUUGGAAAAAAACAUUGGAGAUUGGACUUCAUAGAUGGAAUUCCCAAGCCUUGAAUCCGGUUGGAACAAGGGACUGUCCACAUGAAGACCCUUCUGUUGUUGGCCUUGACCAUGGCCUUUGGUGCUGCGCCACACAUGACUGUUGCUACAGAUGUCUGGAGAAGCAGAAAUGUGGCACCAAGUAUCUGAACUACAAUUUUGCUUACCGAAAGGGCCAAAUCGUCUGUGACUCUGUCCACACCUUUGGGAACCCCUGGACCUGCUGGGGUUGGACCCCAACAUCUGGCACCCGAACUGGGUUCCUCUAUGUAAGUCUCCCCUUACUUGGGACGGAUAGGACUGCACCGUAGGGUGCUGCAGACCCUCCUACAGAGGAUAAGUAGGGUAAGCGAGUAGAUAGUACAGAACUUAGAUUGUGAAGAUGGGUCAUACUGAAUCUAAAGAAAAAAGACUCUGUAUUAAUCUUUUAACGCAUAUGCUUGCUAGCAGAGGAGUUAAGGUUACUCCCAGUCAGACAGAAAGUUUUAUACAAGACGUAUGUCCAUGGCUUCCUGAGGAUGGAACUGUUAAUUUAGAAACUUGGACUAAAGUAGGAGAGCAAUUAAAGAAUUAUUACAGCUACGAUGGAUCUGAGAUGGUCCCGGCAGAUACCUUUUCCCUCUGGAAUUCAAUUCGUGACACCUUGGCACCAGAGGCAGAAACGGUUGAACUUUCUCAAACUUUAAAUAGUCCUUCGGCUCCACCUAAAGAGGACACAUCUUUAUUGUCUCCAGCUCAAUCUAAGAGCAAUUUAGCUAUGCCUACUGAUCGGAAGGAGAAUAAAUAUCAUAAACAUGACCAUUGGCACUUUCCAGUCAGUAGAGAGGAGAGAGGCCCUCCCAUUCAAAACAGGCUACCCAAAUUAGAAAGAAAGCCUAAACCAGGUUCUGCGGCUCCUAUGAGCUCCAUGUCUAAAUUUCAAAGGGCGAUAAGAGAAGCUGAAGCUAAUGGAGAUCUUGAAUUCUCACUCUGCUUCCCAGUUGCAUAUGAGAAUGAGUUUGGUGAGGACGAAAACCCCACCUGUGAGCCUAUACCUUACAAAAUAUUUAAAGAAUUAAAAUUGGCCUGCUCUGAAUAUGGACCUCUAGCUCCUUACACACAAACCUUGGUAGAAGCCCUAGCCAGUAAAUGGAUGACUCCUUAUGACUGGUCACAGGUUUGUAAAGCCUGUCUCUCCAGAGGCGAUUACUUAUUAUGGAAAACUGAAUAUGAUGAUCUUGCUAAGAGAGCUGUAGCCACUAGCAAAAAUUCCAGAGGAGGAAUAACCCUAGACAUGAUAUUAGGAGAAGGUGAUUUUAACACGGCUCAGGAGCAAAUGUGUAUGCCCAAAGAGGCACGUAUUAAAGUAACCAGUUGUGCAGUAAAUGCCUGGAAAUCCCUACCUUGUACAGCAGGAAAAACAACCACCCUUACAGAGGUUAAACAGAAGGCCGAGGAACCAUAUCAGGAUUUCCUUUCUCGCCUCAUACAGGUAGUCAAGAGAGUAAUCAAUAACGAAGAGGCAGCCAAUAUCCUAAUUAAACAACUGGCUUUUGAAAAUGCUAAUAAUACCUGUCAGGCUUUAUUAAGGCCGAUUCGCACAACAGGAACUAUAAAUGAUUUUAUAAAACAGUGCGCUGAUGUAAGUCCAGCAUUUAUACAGGGUGCAGCUAUGGCUGCAGCUCUCAAAGGGGAGACAUACCCUCAAUAUGUACAGGGCAUAGGACAAUCCAUCAAUAAUAUAGGUAAUAAAAGAAAUAUGAACUGCUACUCUUGUGGCUUAUCUGGGCACUUUAGCAGAGAAUGCCCCCGCAAAAAUAAUAAUACUCAAGCCAGAUGGCAAACUCCUCGACAGCCUGGAAAUACAUCAGGGAAUAAUAUUAUUUCUCCAAAAACUAUUUGUCCCCGAUGUCAGAAAGGAUUCCAUUGGGCAAAGGAAUGUAGAUCAAAAUACCAUAAAAAUGGUCGCCCUUUAAAAAUUCUAUAAACCACUCCCAAGGAGGUUAUAUCCCAUCACCUCAAUUGGGAAACUUGAGAAGGGGCCAGCCCCAGGCUCCUGCAAUAAUAGGGGCAUCAACCCUCAACCCCUCUGCAAAUUUCAAUCAGUCAGUGACCUCUUCAGGGCAACCCCAGGCAGUGCAGGAUUGGACCUCCAUUCAACCACCCAUGCAAUACUAACCCCAGACUUGCCAGUAGCAGCCAUUCCUACAGGAGUGUCUGGGCCGCUGCCUGAGGGAACUGUAGGUUUAAUAUUAGGACGGAGCUCCACCUCGUUACAGGGGAUCUUAGUCAUCCCAGGAGUUGUUGAUGCAGACUACACAGGAGAAAUACAGAUUUUACUUUCCCCACCCACCACAACUAUACAGAUUCAGCCCAACCAGAGAAUUGUCCGAUUACUCCUGUUACCAAUACAUAAAAUAGGGACAACUGUUACCCAGGAAGCCAGAGGGGCUGGAGGCUUUGGAUCUGGUGAUGCAGCAUGUUGGAUACAAGAAAUCCAUGCUGCUAGACCUACAAAAAUUUUACAAAUUCAGGGAAAACCAAUUGAAGGUUUAUUGGGUACAGGAGCAGAUGUUUCCUGCAUAGCAGGGAAGGAUUGGCCCUCUUCAUGGCCCAUGCACACCACCUCCACUUCCCUAGUAGGACUAGGCAAGGCAUCUAAUGUAAAAAAGAGUUCUCAGAUUUUAACUUGGGCUGAUGGGGAUCAACAUUCAGGAACAUUCUGUCCCUAUGUAAUUACGACUAUCCCUUUUACAUUAUGGGGAAGAGAUAUCUUAUCUCAAAUGGGCGUUCUAUUAUAUAGCCCCAGUGGUGUUUGAUUUACUCCGUUACAAAAAAUUACAAGAAAAUGAGUUUAAAUAUUCCUCUCCUCAUCAUGUUCUACAACAUACUCUAUUUGUAAUUAAUAUACUAAAUGUAGGUUCUGAGGGAAAUUCCCCGAUGUACAGACAUUGGAACCCUGAUCUAACUAAACCUGAAGCCCUCAUCAAAUGGAGAGACUUGCUUACAGGAGCCUGGAAGGGACCUGAAGUACUUUUAACGUGGGGGAGAGGAUAUGCUUGUAUAUUUCCACAGGACACAGACUCACCUGUGUGGAUUCCAGACCGUCUAGUCUGACCUUAUGUCUCACCGCCCUCCGUCUCCGCCUCACCUUAGCACACCUGACCAGUGUCCGUCUGUAGCAGAUGUGCAGCCCUGAGCUGAAACAACCUGUCAUUGGGAGGAUCACAUUUGCCUCCUUUUUGUCUGUCCAUAUGUCCCAGCUUUGCCCCACAUCUCCUUUCCUUUUUUUUUCUUUUUUUUAAUCUGACAACUUGUUUGCUGGUUCUUUGGCCUUUCUCCUGAACACAGCCUUUUCUAGAAUCUCCCUACUCUACUGUUCCAGGAAGAGCACCUCCCUUUUCUGCCAUGACUAUGGGGUGUCUGGUAUAUGUCCCAUACAUGGAGUUGUCUUGUGCCAAGAGCCUGACAUCCUGGGCUGAGAAAGCCCUUCCUGGGACUCUCCUUUGUCCAGUAUUGGCCCCUCUUGCCCUUGUGUCAAGAGGGACCCCCUUCUCACAGUCCAUUUGCCCACAGCUUUUGCCUGGGCUUUCUGUUCAUGCUGAAGUUGAGGCCUCGUGGUGGCCGGUGCGAUUGAUCUGCCUCUCGCCCAAUGGUGUGAGCUGGGCCCUCCCUGGAGAAGAAACCUGGGUUCCCCAAGAGAUGUGACCAGAGCCGGGGCCCCGCCAGCAGGCGAGGGGAGCCCAAGGCAGGUGCUGGGCGUGGAGGCCACAGGGGCAUAGGCUACCAAGGAGACAGAACUGAACCUCUUGCAGGGGGGCGCUGCCCCUCCCUCAUUCGCAAACCUCACAUCACCCUGCUUGGCCCCGGAGGAUGGCUGGUUAGCCAGAGACGGGUAAGAUUCCUCAGGGAAGGAACAACCUAAGACAGGCACAGUCGCAGAGGGGCCAUCAGGAGACAACUUGGGGGUCAACAGAGGUGGGGCACAGACCCUCACCCCCCCAACUUUGCAGAGGCCUGAACCCUCACCCCUUCUGAGGGAGGUCUCCUGCCCCCGUGGCUGCUUCACUUCCCACGCCCAGCUCAGAUCGGGACCCAGGUAAAGACAGAGACCGGCUGACAGCAGCUGCCCUCUCACUGCAACAGGACUUGUUUCCCAUUUCCACCUUGGACCACAGGGAAAGGGGAAGCUGAAGGAAAGGGCUGUGUCAGGAUGCUGCCUUCUUCCCUUUCUUCUCCCUCUUUUUUCUAAAUACUUCCAUGCCUUGUAGUUCUUUUGCUUUCUCUUCUUUUUCUCUCUACUACCCUCCAUCUUCCAUAUCAGCCAACCCAGAGGGCACAGCUUACUCCUCCUCGGACACCAACACCACCAUUAAACGCAGCCCUGAUGGACCCUUUGAUCCAGCCAUUCAACUCGCUGAUGCUUCGGGAAGCCUGUCGCCAAUGACGCCGCCCGCUAGCCAGAUCAACAAGGACAACCAAACCACCGACUUGAGGCCAGCUGAAAUCCCUUGACUGAAGGGGCCAGCAACCUUCUACAGGAACGGGGCUCCUGUGCGCUCCAUCCACUAUGUUUACAGCUAUGCUUAUUGUCAUUGCUUGCCAGUCUUCUUCCGAGUCUUAAACAGCCCAAUCUGAGAGGUGGCCACUGAUUUGCAUGUGUUAUCACUUAAAAAAUAAAAAAGGGGGGAUUUGCCGAAAGCCAGUCCAUCCUUGCUGCUUAACACAGUCGCUGCAGAAAAGAAACAUCUGAAGAGCAUAUGUUUCAAGGGAUCUGGCCUAUAUAGCAUACUGUUCUUAAUAUGUUUGCUCCCCUUAGCGCUAUGUGUUUUAACCACGGUCACCUCUCUGAGAAAGGUUGUUUCCCCAGGUAGGGAUUUUUCCCUGAAGUUAGGGAGGGGAUAAAACCCCUUAACUAAAUGCCUGGUGGGUAGUUAAUCACUUUAACUAUGAAUAAUCACCCUUAAGCUACAUAAUCUUUACUCCCUGGAAUGGAGAUAAGAAAUGCCCUAACCUUUGGAAUAGAAAUUGACAGGAUUAAAAUCAACUGGUAUAAAUACAGAUGUAAAAAGACAAUAAAAGACAAACAGAACUUGGUUGGA